Neofelis nebulosa (Clouded leopard) is the source of this 4451-nucleotide long non-coding RNA. RefSeq lists it as uncharacterized. Lineage: Eukaryota; Metazoa; Chordata; Mammalia; Carnivora; Felidae. The transcript is spliced from 3 exons. The record is from RefSeq and is a predicted model, not a curated record.
CGUAAGAUAGGACAAGAGUACUUUCAGAGUAAUUACAUUUCCUGUUGAUUUUAGAUGGGUGCCUGCAACUCAGUCUUUAAUUUAGGAUAUAUUGUUCACAUACUUAUAUUCUUUUUCCAUAUCAACAUGAUCUGUCCUAGUUUUUAAAUAGGGCAUUCUUUCCUCCCAGUGAAUAUAUAUUGGAAUUCCAGUGAGAUUUCAAUUUUUUGUACACCAAGGGCUUGUCAAAACACUGCAACUCAUCACUUGAACACUCCGUUUACAUGAGACUCCCUGAGAAUAAAAGAGAAGGAAUUUUCCCUGGGUGAAAAUGAUAGAAUUAAUCUCAAUCCAUUAAAAAUUCUCUUUAGCUCCAUUCAGAGUUGAUGCCUUUUGGGUUAAAGGAUACAAGAUGAAAAUGUUCUUCAGUUAAAAAAUACUUUUAGGAUGUGCUGUUUCAGAAUAAAGUUUUGACUAGGAUUUUCUUGUUUCAAAGAUUAUGAUUGGGUGCUCUCCUUUUCUGCCAAUGUAAAAGUGUCUUUACACACUAAUGAUAAUGAUCUCAUACUGCUACUUAAAAAAAAAUAAUUGGGAAGUUGGGGGCGCCUUGGUGGCAUAGUUGAUCAGGCAUCAGACUUUUGAUCUCCGCUCAGGUCAUGAUCUCUUGGUUCCUGAGUUCAAGCCCUGUAUGGGGCUGUGCAUUGAUGGCACAGAGCCUGCUUGGGAUUCUUUCUGUCCUUCUCUCUGCCCCUCCCCUGCUUGCAUACGCACAUGCACUCUCUUUCUUUCUCUCUCUCAAAAUAAAUAAUAAAAAUUUUAAAUAAUUGGGAAUUUGGUCUAAGUUACAUUUACUUGAAAAGGGGAGUGAUUUGCCUUUUCAGGUUACAGUAAGACAGGAAAUCUCCGCAGAACAGUGGAGAAAGGCACAUAAAGUUGUGUGUUCAAAUCCAUAUCUGCAUUGUUUUUAGGAAGACAAAACAGUAAAGGAAAUUUUGUAGAUUCAAGAGUAAACAAUAUGUACUACUGGGCUAGUAAGACUUGUUUAAGCCCCCACACUCUAGCAAAGGCAGAAUCUACAAGCAGGAACCUACUUGUAGGGGGUUGAAGGAAGCAGGUCCAAAUUCAGACAGAACAAAACCUAAUCUGGCUUGAAAACACAGUCGACAUCCUGUCUCUGACAAACACCACAGGCCAGACAUCGGCUGAAUCAGUCCUCCUGGCAUCUCGUCUGAAUGUUUGUGGAUUUUAAAACCCUGCAGAGGGUUAUCAAUCUAAUGACAUUUAUUUUAAAAUGCAAUUAAGCAAUAGAAACACAAUCAAUCUGGCAUCAUCACCAGGUCAGGAAACAGGUUGUUUUGUUAGGAAGUAAAUUUUCACACCACUGGAUGGUGUUCUGAUUUUAAAACUUGAACUUAAUUCAGCCUUGCAAAUAAUAGCCCUGAGUCUUGUUUUUACAACAUAUGUUCCUCCUAGCAAGUGCACUGGUUCUAAUAUUAUUGACAUUUCACUAAUUUAUUAACUGGUAUUGUGAAAAAAAAUCAAUACUCUCGUCUCUUCUAAUUACUAUAAUGGGGUUAUCUUACAUCUUAAAGCUUUUUGAAACUGUGUGACUAAGUUUUUGUAUCAUGUUAAGCUCCCCGCCCCCCUCCCCUCUUUCACCUUCAGUGUGAUAUCUCUGCACUAACUGGAGACACUGUCAAUUUAAAAUCCAUUUUGAAAACACUCUGUAAGUAUAGGAUAGCACAGAAUGUGGUAGGUACAUUACCCGACCUUUGACAUAGAAUCACCUUAGAAAUAAAUGCAGCUAUAAAUCUUGUUGGCCUAUUUCUUUCUACCUAAGAGUUCUGUGAAAUACCAUUAUUUCUCUCCUUGGGGUCUGACAUCUCAGCAUCCUUAAAAAGCAAUUAGCAUUUGCCACCUCAGUUCUACAUCUUCAGGACAACUUAAAGAAUGGGAUGAAAAUUCACAUGGCUAGAAUAUGUACCCUUAGCAUAAAAAACUUUUACAUCAUGCCCCAAAGCCAUGACAAUUGUGUCAAGUUUUACAUUUAAUCAUGGCAGCACAUCACCUGGCCAGGAUUUGUGAACGCUAAGGGCAUUUUUAAGUUGGGUCCAUCAAAGAAAUGUUUGUCAAGCACCACUCCUCUGGGCCAGCCCUGGACAGACUAGGAAUUGGGGACAGAAGCGGACGAUACCCUCAGGGAGCCCAGAUCUGAUGGAAGACUCGAAGGUAAGAAAUGAUCAUUCAGAUUGGCAACGCCUCUUAGAAGAGGUCUAUGCCAAGUGCUAGCAAGCUAUAGGUGGAGAGCAUCACCCAGGUUUUGUUUGAGCUGGUCUCAAAUGAUGAAGGACUCCAGGCAACCAUAAAGAAAAGUCACAAAAGGCAGAAAACAAAUAUGCACAUAGGACCCGGAGUACAAAAGAAUAUGGUAUAUGGUGAGACUAGAAGGCAGUUCUGUGAGGAUGGAGUAUUAUGUUUUGAGGCAGACAGUUGCAGGGAAUGACAUGCAGGAAAGCAGCUGGUGUGUAGAGGGACUGAGUCACCUGUAUCUUUGUGUCUGUAGCAAAGGGCCUGGCAAAUACUAGGUUCUCAGAAAAUGUGCAUGGAUUGACUGGAGUAUAAUACCUCACAUACUAAAGGCUCCUAAACUUACCUAGAACACAUUAUGUACACAUAAUAACAAAAUUCCGCAUCAACAGACUUAGCAAGUAGAACUGUAUUCUUCCAGACAAAACCUCUAAAAGUUAUGAACUGCCUAGAAAGGCAAUUUUUUUUUACCCUGAUGUCACAGGUUUCAAAACUAUGCCGUAGUUAUUACAUAAAACUCUUAAAACUGGCAAUCAAUGCUAUAUCUGCAUUUGUGUAAUUAACUAAGAUGUCUUUUGAUGAGCUAACCCUGUGUAUAAAAUCAACAAAGUUUUAUGCCCACUUCUUUCCUUUUAUGGACUACUGAUACCCUAUUUGUGUUUCAAAGGGCACAUGAACUUCAAAUUUACCACUGGAAAUGGAUCCUAUGCACUUGCUUAAGUAGUUAGCACUUCUAAUUUGGUAAAAACAAAAAUAUUAUCAAUUUCAUUGUUUUAUGAUUAUUAAGUGCUUUUAAAUUUUUUUUUAAAUUUUUUAGAGACUGGCAUUUAGGACAGAUUUUGUCUUUUAGGCCUCAAGUAUCAUUUGCAUUUAAAAAGAAAACAGUAUAUCCUAAACCAAAGUCAGUUAAUCUGUACAAUCUUUCUUCUUCCCAAUUACUGGAAUGAGCAUCCUCUCAGGACUCAAGUGACGGUGACUCUUAUUUCUGCCUUCUAAAGACAUGUCUCAGCUUCGCAGAUUUUUUUUUUUUUGGCUGUACAAUGGAACUUGGAUGCAUUUUAAAUUAACUUUCUCUAGGAAUCAAAGAGUAACCUCUGAGGACCCCAGCUUGCACUAAGAGGACUGAGCAAAUGUGUCCAAAGCCUGUUCUUGCUGAAGUGACCCAAACACUUAGAAGAACAUGACAAGAAUCAGCAAUCCCACUUCACGUGAAAAGUGCAAGCACACCUGGCCAUGUGCACAGGCAUACAGUCAGGCGGUGGUCCAAGGCAAGUAUCAUUUCACAUCCUUCUAAGUGUCCUGAGGAAGCUUUGCUACCCAGCCCACCAAUGAAUGUAAUGAAGAGACCUUCUCCAGUUUCCAGGACAAGCUUAGUCCCUAGGUGGUCCUCCUCACAUACCGUCAAUGUCCUCUCAAUAUUCCAAAACCAUGAGAAAUUACACUAAGGAAGUCUUCAGACCUUAGCCCAUUAGAACCUUUUCUAGGGGCUUUAUUUAGGAAAGAUAUCAAUACCAUCAAAUUGAGAAAGAGAUCCCUACUAUGACCUACUGUGAUGUGACCCUUUCAAAUCCAUUCCCUCCCUGGGUAGUGGGUUCUCAGUGCAUCCUGGGUAAAGAGGCAGGUACUAUAGCAUCACUGGGGGCUCCUACCUAACUCCCCUACAAAGUAAAAGGAAGUGAAAUAGAGGGUCAGCAUGUGAUACCCUGCCUCAUUUAUGCCAAGUGGGUAAAAUGCUGACCCUUUAGAAAAGAUCAUCUCUCUGUGCCUCAGUUUCCUCAUCUGUAAAACAUAACCUCAUAGGGUAGUUGUGAAGACUACAUAAAAGUAAAGCACUUAGAACUGAGUUUGGCACAGUAGUUAUUCAAAUGUUAACUAUCAUUGUUGUUAUUAGGUCACUUAACAUUAACUGAAUUUUUCUAUUUGUGUUUCCUCUAGGAAAGAAUUUGGAGAUUCCAAUCUGAUCCUUUUCCAUGUGAUCUCUUGUACCCAUUCUAUUUCUGUACCACAUGUAAUAAAGUUUGAGAGUGCAAGUAAUCCAUCUGUAUCUGAUUUUUGUCUGGAAAAACUUGCAGGAUUUUCAGAUUGAGUAUCAAUACAUCUCCUGUCUUGUCUUUCACCUGUUCAGUAUUGAUCAUUUCUGGAGCAAUGGUGUCUUAAAGCCAAAA